Long non-coding RNA from Vidua macroura (Pin-tailed whydah), 644 nucleotides. RefSeq lists it as uncharacterized. The record is from RefSeq and is a predicted model, not a curated record. The transcript is spliced from 3 exons. NCBI's taxonomy places the organism in Eukaryota, Metazoa, Chordata, Aves, Passeriformes, Viduidae.
ACCGUGCUCCCUCAGGGAGGACGGUCCCAAAGGAGAUCCCUGAGAAGCAGAAAUCUGAGGAUUCUUGUAGCCAGAAUGAAACGAAACACUCCCAGAAUGUUAGUUUCUGCCUUGGCUCCGGCAUGUAAGAAAAAGUCACGUUUCUGGUGGGGUCAGCGAAAGCUGUGUGCAAAGAAGGAAUUCAGGGUCCUAUACGAGGAUUUCAGAGGGAUUUAGGUGUUUCACAACUGGGAUCUGAAAACCAUCCUACCUAGCAAGUAACUUAUCCUAGAACUGCAUAAAUCCUUCAGGAUUUUUUGAAAGUUCACUCAAAGGUUCUCUGCAGCUGCUUGUUUCCAGACCAGCGCUGCUUUUAGUAGCUUGGCAAAAAUCCCGCUGGGAUCAGUUGUACAAGAUGUCAUGGAUGCAAGAGCAGGGUAGUAUAUCCAGUUGUAACACUCAGCUGUGAAAAAAAAGUUUUAACUUGUACAUGACUUUGGUGGAAUCCAUGGUAUAAACAUAGUCUGCAGUGUAUAAUUUUCUCCUAAACUUCCCCAAUUGCUUGCAACUUUUGAAGAAAAAAACAGAAACAUUAUGAAUUACCCUUUUUUUUUUUAAUUAGAAGUGGAAGCUACAAGACAGCUCAGAAACAACUGAAGUUUGGA